UCGUUUAGAGUGGAGAAAGAGAAUUCAUAUAGCCGACCCCAAUAAAUUUUUGGGAUAAAGGCUUAGCUAAGUUGAGUUGAAUUGAGUUGAGUUUUGUGGGGGUGGGGGGGGGGGGACCCAAUAUGCAUCUUACAACCUAGACGCCGCACUACCACAUGCAUGCAUGUUAUAUCUAUAAAAUUUACUGAUGGAUGGAAGAAGGAUUGGAUUUUGCACACAAUGGACCAAGUUCUAAGGUUAGGUAAAGAAAAUAAAGGGUGGGAAGCAAAUAUAAAAUACUUAAAUUUAUGACAUGCAUAAUAGUAAAGGCAUUGUAUUUCAAAAAGAAAAUUUAUGAUGACCAAUGCAAAAACAGGGCUACUAUUUUUCUUAACUGAACAGGCCAAAAAAAGAAUGUUCAGCCAGACAUGUAGACAAGAAAUUUUGAGUAAGGGCUAAAGAAAAUCACACAAUAUUAUGCAAUUCUAAGAGCACAGCUAAGAUUUAAAAGCAAGCUUAUUGGAAAAAUAGUAUUUAUAUAAACAGUAGGUAGUUAACAGGAGGCAGAAAAAAGGAGAAGAGGUUUUCCAUUCUCUCA
Molecule: unclassified non-coding RNA, 577 nt
Filed under: Hevea brasiliensis (rubber tree)
Lineage: Eukaryota; Viridiplantae; Streptophyta; Magnoliopsida; Malpighiales; Euphorbiaceae
Source: RNAcentral